AUUCUUUGUGCAGCCGCCCCCCAUUCCCCUACCCUCUUGGCCGCCCCCCCCCUCCCAUCUCCUCCUUUCUCAAGCACUUGCAGCCACACAUCAAACCCUAGCCGCCUCCCCCCCAUCUCCUCCUCCCAUGGUGCCAUUCGUUGCCGCUCGGAUCUCCGUCGCGUGGUGCAACUCUUCAACGGUUUUCGGUGGAGGGAGGAAGGGAGGAAGAAAAGGGGGAGAACCCAAGGUACUUGAUACAUGUUGGAAAUGAGGGGAGUAGCGGCACGUCCACUUUUACUCUCACAAUAACGCUGCCCAGGCGCAGCCAUGAUUUAAUUAGAAACUUAUUGUCAAAGGAAGUUUGUUUUCUUUAUAUGGUCGUGCGCACUGGUUAAUUCAGUUCAGGUCGUAUGUUUAUCUUUCCUUGCUAGUCGAUUAAUAAUACUUAGUAUGUUUUAGUCCUAAUAUAUGUUUAUACUCUGUUGCCCCCUCUUUUAUGCAAUCUUGCAAAGGGGAUGCUGCCGAAAUUUUAUAUAUGGACGUCGGAAGUGUAGUUCAGUAGCAUUCCGGGUUGUUUGUGGAACCCGGAGUGUUACAAGAAGAUAUCACUGAACUGCUAUCAACAUACUCUUGACAUAGUGAACUUUUAUCACCA
Long non-coding RNA from Zea mays, 637 nucleotides. RefSeq lists it as uncharacterized. The record is from RefSeq and is a predicted model, not a curated record. The transcript is spliced from 2 exons. NCBI's taxonomy places the organism in Eukaryota, Viridiplantae, Streptophyta, Magnoliopsida, Poales, Poaceae.